This is a long non-coding RNA of Cyprinus carpio carpio, 918 nucleotides long. The record is from Ensembl. Lineage: Eukaryota; Metazoa; Chordata; Actinopteri; Cypriniformes; Cyprinidae.
UGAUGAACGCUGCCUCACAGGUGAGGAUGAGGAUGAUGAUGAUGUAGCAGUCACAGGAGCAGGUGAUGAACUUUUCCGCACAGGUGAGGAUGAGGAUGAUGUAGCAGUCACAGGGGCAGAUGAUGAAUGCUGCCUCACAGGUGAGGAUGAGGAUGAUGUAGCAGUCACAGGGGCAGGUGAUGAACGCUGCCUCACAGGUGAGGAUGAGGAUGAUGUAGCAGUCACAGGGGCAGGUGAUGAACGUUUCCUCACAGGUGAGGAUGAGGAUGAUGUAGCAGUCACAGGGGCAGGUGAUGAACGUUUCCUCACAGGUGAGGAUGAGGAUGAUGUAGCAGUCACAGGGGCAGGUGAUGAACGUUUCCUCACAGGUGAGGAUGAGGAUGAUGUAGCAGUAACAGGGGCAGGUGAUGAACUUUUCCUCACAGGUGAGGAUGAGAAUGAUGUAGCAGUAACAGGGGCAGGUGAUGAACUUUUCCUCACAGGUGAGGAUGAGGAUGAUGUAGCAGUAACAGGGGCAGGUGAUGAACGCUGCACAGAAGACCAAAGACACAAAAAAAAUACCACAGAUGUAAACAAAAAGUAAAUAUAAAUGCUUGCUUAAUUCAAAGUGCAUUGAUUUAGUUUAAGGGCAAGACAAAUGCAUUUGGAACAAAUAAUGUUUAAAACACAAAAGGGAGGAGAAAAUAAUGUAGAAUAAUCUUUUGAAACACUGAUAAUAAUUUUAAAUCUUUUAGUUACCAAACAACUAUACAAAGCUUUUGCAAAAAAAGCUUGAAAAGCUUGAAGAGUUCUAUGUACAGAACAUACAGAAAGACAGUCAGAUAUCAAUACGACAACAGAUUUGAGAAAUGAGAGUACCUUGGCUUGCCAAUCCCAGUCUCCAUAGCUGUAAGUAAUCUCUUCUCCUGGUUUAAUGUC